This is a small nuclear RNA of Portunus trituberculatus (swimming crab), 159 nucleotides long. RefSeq annotates it as U1 spliceosomal RNA. NCBI's taxonomy places the organism in Eukaryota, Metazoa, Arthropoda, Malacostraca, Decapoda, Portunidae. The record is from RefSeq and is a predicted model, not a curated record. The transcript has a single exon.
UCAUAGACCGAUCUUCAGGUAGGACUUAUCGAGUGUGUGUGUCCCAGGGCGAGGCCUGCCAUUGCACUCCGGCAGUUCUGACCCCUGCGAUUAACCCAAAUGUGGUUAACUCGAGGGAUAAAUUUUUGUUAGUGGGGAUUGCGUUCGCGUUUGCGUUCG